This 504-nucleotide ribosomal RNA is filed under the name uncultured bacterium. RNAcentral describes it as "bacterial SSU rRNA". It matches the Rfam family "Bacterial small subunit ribosomal RNA", at positions 107 to 607 of the family's 1533-position model. The record is from RNAcentral.
UGAGGAAUACAUCGGAAUCUACUUUUUCGUGGGGGAUAACGUAGGGAAACUUACGCUAAUACCGCAUACGACCUACGGGUGAAAGCAGGGGAUCUUCGGACCUUGCGCGAUUGAAUGAGCCGAUGUCGGAUUAGCUAGUUGGCGGGGUAAAGGCCCACCAAGGCGACGAUCCGUAGCUGGUCUGAGAGGAUGAUCAGCCACACUGGAACUGAGACACGGUCCAGACUCCUACGGGAGGCAGCAGUGGGGAAUAUUGGACAAUGGGCGCAAGCCUGAUCCAGCCAUACCGCGUGGGUGAAGAAGGCCUUCGGGUUGUAAAGCCCUUUUGUUGGGAAAGAAAUCCAUCUGGCUAAUACCCGGGUGGGAUGACGGUACCCAAAGAAUAAGCACCGGCUAACUUCGUGCCAGCAGCCGCGGUAAUACGAAGGGUGCAAGCGUUACUCGGAAUUACUGGGCGUAAAGCGUGCGUAGGUGGUCGUUUAAGUCCGUUGUGAAAGCCCUGGG